Molecule: unclassified non-coding RNA, 24 nt
Filed under: Mus musculus (house mouse)
Lineage: Eukaryota; Metazoa; Chordata; Mammalia; Rodentia; Muridae
Description: oocyte_clustered_small_RNA10535
Source: RNAcentral
UUCCAGCAUGAGCUUGAGCCAGAG